GUUGAGGAGAAUGUUGUCUGGUUCGAAAUCAUUCAAUAGAAAAGGUAGUGGCGAAUCUAGUCACAGGGUUCAAGGUUGUUAAACCUUAUAUAUGUACGAAAAAUAAGUACAAUAUAUGUUUUAGAUUUUAAAAUGUCUAAUUUCUGAACGUCACAGAUUAAAUCGUUUGAUUAAUCAAUCUGGUGAGUGAUUUCGGGACCAGGCUUCAUUCCCCUCAAC
RNAcentral lists this microRNA precursor (219 nucleotides) under Solanum tuberosum (potato). RNAcentral's name for it is "mir-166 microRNA precursor family". It matches the Rfam family "mir-166 microRNA precursor family". Rfam says of the family: This family represents the plant microRNA (miRNA) precursor mir-166. Animal miRNAs are transcribed as ~70nt precursors and subsequently processed by the Dicer enzyme to give a ~22nt product. Lineage: Eukaryota; Viridiplantae; Streptophyta; Magnoliopsida; Solanales; Solanaceae. The record is from Rfam by way of RNAcentral.